RNAcentral lists this unclassified non-coding RNA (329 nucleotides) under Acinetobacter sp. DSM 11652. RNAcentral's name for it is "Long range pseudoknot". The record is from RNAcentral. Lineage: Bacteria; Pseudomonadati; Pseudomonadota; Gammaproteobacteria; Moraxellales; Moraxellaceae.
ACAGACGUUGGUGAUUACAAUGUUAAGUUGCGUGCUAUUCUGAAAUUCCUUGAAGAAGGCAACAAAGUUAAAAUUACUCUACGUUUCCGUGGUCGUGAGAUGGCUCACCAACAAUUGGGUCUUGCUCAAUUACAAAAGAUUGAAGCUGAUGUGGCUGAAAUCGGUGUAGUGGAACAAGCACCAAAAAUGGAAGGCCGUCAAAUGGGUAUGUUACUUGGUCCUAAAAAGAAAAAGUAAAACCGAUUUAGAGAAAAAGCCCUGCACAUGCAGGGCUUUUUUAUAUGUUGAUUGAAGGGAUAUAGGUACAUCCUGAGUUAGUAAAGAGAGGA